Molecule: ribosomal RNA, 392 nt
Filed under: Melanagromyza sp. 1 YXL-2023a
Lineage: Eukaryota; Metazoa; Arthropoda; Insecta; Diptera; Agromyzidae
Description: partial large subunit ribosomal RNA
Source: RNAcentral
AAAAGAACUCUGAAUAGAGAGUUAAAUAGUACGUGAAACUGCUUAGAGAUUAAGCCCGAUGAACCUGAAUAUCCAUUAUAAAAAAUUCAUCAUCAUUGAAUUUAUAUAGUUAUAUAUUUAUAUAAUGGUGUGCAUUUUUUUUAUAUAAGGACAUUGUAAUCUAUUAAUAUAUAAUUUAUUUAUUAUAAGAUCAAUAUGUAAUGUUUAUUUUAGUUAUAUUAUCAUUUGAUAAUAAUAUUUAAUAAAUACAAUUGAUUUAAUAAAGUGUUGAUAGAUUUAAUCAAAUGUAUGAUGCAAAAAUUUUAUUAUUAUAAAAUUUUAUAAUAUAUAUUUCAUAUGUUAUAAGCAUUUAUACGAUUAACAAUGCGAAAGAUUCAGGAUACCUUCGGGAC